This is a long non-coding RNA of Mauremys reevesii (Reeves's turtle), 3270 nucleotides long. RefSeq lists it as uncharacterized. Lineage: Eukaryota; Metazoa; Chordata; Testudines; Geoemydidae. The transcript has 3 exons. The record is from RefSeq and is a predicted model, not a curated record.
UGCCACUCGUGGUGGUGGUAGUGAGGGGGUUACAGAACGUUCCGGCAGUCGGGCUGUACCACUCCCACUCGUGGUGGUAGUGAGGGGGUUACAGAAUGUUCCGGCAGUUGGGCUGUACCACUCCCACUCGUGGUGGUAGUGAGGGGGUUACAGAAGGUUCCGGCAGUCGGGCUGUACCACUCCCACUCGUGGUGGUAGUGAGGGGGUUACAGAAGGUUCCGGCAGUCAGGCUGUAUCACUCCCACUCAUGGUGGUAGUGAGGGGGAUACAGAAGGUUCCGGCAGUCGGGCUGUACCACUCAUGCAGCACGGGGUCAGUUACUGCUGUCCCAAGCUGUAUGUUCGUUGCCCCUGGCUAUCGCCUGGGACGUUUCCUCUCCCCGUCGCUCUAGUUCAAUACUCGACUUGUUAAACUGCCUCUACACAAACAUGCCCGCAGAUGCCCCCCAGCGCCACCUCCCGCCUGUGGGCAAUGGGGCACUCCCCAGGGCACUGAAACGGCUGGUCUGGGGUUGACACAAGAGUCUCUCCGGAGGGGCACGAGCCAGGCCUGACCCUCGGAACUGGCCUGAACCCUGCAGCCUGACUGAGGACGACGGAUCAUUUCUAGCCAGACCAGUGACGCUCCCUCGGCGAGAUCCCAGACGAUGUACUGGCUCCCGGCAGUGCAGGAGAUGGGCCUGUGUCAGGGAUGCGCCUGCCUGAGAGAACCCAGUGUUCCCGGCCGGACGUUCCAAAGCCUCUGGGACAGGGACGUGGCUCUUUGGGCCUCAUAUCACAGAACAACCCCGUGUUAAUGGUUAUCAGACUACUAAAGAGCUGGAGUUGGACUCCCGCCCGAAUGGAUGCGCUGCUUGUUUCUUCCCGGCUUACUCAUGACUUCAGAUCUGGCAGAAAAGCUUUGCUAAGGAGACAGGCCUUGCACUGUGUCUUUGGCGCUGGCUGGUCUCCUCCACAAGCCUGUUCACCAAACAUCUCCCCAUGAAUAUGACUCCUGCAUGAUUUGUCCUGGGCCCUGUCUCCGAGGAACACUGGGUUGUGGAAGGCAAGCCCAUCCCUAAUAUAUCUGGGUACUGAAACGUUAAUGGCUCUGGAAUUCAGCACCAAGGCCUUGCACAUGCAUCAGAUCAGAACUUGGAGCCAGUGCAGAGCGCAGGAGGGACGUGCUUUUGGCUGCUCAUCCCACUGAGGAACUGAAGACUUGAGACUUGUUGGCUUCGCCCUUCAGUCACCCGUAAGCCUCAUGGAGGAAACACCUCCCCUCUUCUGUUCUGAAAUGUCACCAUUCCAGGGGCAGAGAGCCUGGAGCCCAGCGGGGCAUAUGACAUCAGAGAUCCUUGGACAGCAAGGGUGGACCAGCAAUUAGGGCACUAGCCAGAAACUUGGCUUUCAUUCCCAGCUCUGCCACAGACCCCCUGUAUGAUCUCAAUCUAGUCCCUUAAGCUCUCUGUGCCUCAGUACAACGGCGAAGAUAGCCCGCCCGCCCUGCCUCCCAGGGUGCUUGUGAGGAAAGAGGCACUAAAUAUUGCAAGGGGUUCAGAUGCUAAAGUGAUGGGCACCAUGUAAGUCCCAUAGAGAGCUCCACAGACCCAGCUGUUGAAACGGGGCAUUGAUCAGACAGUGCAACAGCCCAGGCGAGCAUCAGACUGUCAAACCCACAGGGUUUAUGGGGACUCUGCCAACUAGGUGAAGGACAAAGGGCUAGAAUGGGAGAAGGAGCUGCCUGGUUCUGAGUCUUCUUCCCCGUCAGUCCAAGGGGAGCUGCAGCAGGAGUGGGGCUGUGGCUCCCUAUGCAGCGUGGAGUCUGACAGUUCAGUGCCACGGGGAAACCCUACUGGCCAUUGCUUUCAGGGAGCUCUGGCCUUGCAUCUCAGGAGCCUCCAGCUGCAGCGUCUCUGCUGUUGAGUUAACAUUUGGCACCAGGCUCUUGGGGUGAAAGGUGCUCCGGGUGUGGAGGGGUGAAUUAUUAACAUGGCCCAGAUUUUUAAAAGUAUCUAUGCGCAGCUGCACUCAGUUUUGCACCACUUAAACAAUUUAGAAGCCUGCGGCUCGGCCUACCCCAAGAAAUUACGUCUCUACAACCAUCUCCUGCUUUUCUGCCGCCCUAAGCACGAUGCUCAGCAAUGUGAAAAAUCCACACCACUGAGCAAUGGAGUUAAACUGACCUAACUCCUGGUGUAGACAGUGGUAUGUCAAUGGGGGGGCUUCUCGUGUCCACAUAGCUCUUGUCUCUUGUGGAGGUGGAGUACCUAUGCUGGUGGAAGAAGGAUUCCCAUCAGCAUAGGUAGCAUUCUAAAUGUAGACCUGCCUUAAGUCUCAUUUUCAAAAGGGAUUUAGAUACUAGGAACCAAAAUCCCACUGGACGCUCUAGCCUGGCCAUUGGCUGCUGGUUAUGGGAGGUUGGGAAUGUACCUUAGGCAGAAACACCUCACUGAGGGUAUGUCUACACUAAAGUGAAGGUCUGAUUGUAGCACAGGUAGGUGUACCUGUGCUAGCUUCAGUCUAGGUAGCGCUGGUAACAACAGUAAUGUAUACAUGGCAGCAUAGGCAUCAGCACAGGCUAGCAACCAGAGUACAAGCCUUUUGGGGAGUAAGGGCACAUGCUCUAUUUGCUAGCCUAUGCCACCACAUCUACACUGCUACGGUCGCCUAUGCAAGCGAGAUUACAUGCCAGCCUGCGCUACAGUCACAUCUUCACUUGCAGUGUAGACAUACCCUGAGUCAGAGCUGGAUUCAUCUCUCUGCAGUUCCUGGAGCAGAAGCAUGUGUCCCAGAGGAGGCAGUGGCUCACCUCUCUUCAUCGUGUGGCCCCUUGCCAAUAUGAGAAUAAGGCUGGUACAAAGCGAUUUAAACUCCUCCCUGGGGACUAGCUCAUCAUUCCCACCACAUACCAUCUGGAGGAAGAAGCUGAGUUCAUCCUCCGGGCGUUCAGAGAGAAGACUCCUGCCUUUCAUGAAAUUGACAAUGAAAUCAGCACAGAUCUGGAAGCCCUUCAGGCAUUUGGUGUCAUUCAAGGUAUUCGCAUAAUCCAGCCUUCUUAGUGCCUGAUGGAGAGGAGGGCUGAAAUGUUCCAACACCUUACUGUAUAGAGAAAAUAACUCUUCCGCUGAGAUGGUAUGACCGAUGACUCCUAAUACAGGAGAACUUCAGACUUACGAACUGACUGAUCAACCGCACGCCUCAUUUGGAACUGGAAUUACGCAAUCAGGCGGCAGCAGCAAAAAUGAAAAAGACAAAUACAGUACCGUACUGUGCUAAACAUAAGCUAGAU